RNAcentral lists this ribosomal RNA (275 nucleotides) under uncultured bacterium JIII-yw-98. RNAcentral's name for it is "partial 16S ribosomal RNA". It matches the Rfam family "Bacterial small subunit ribosomal RNA", at positions 54 to 327 of the family's 1533-position model. The record is from RNAcentral.
CAUGCAAGUCGAACGAUGAUCUCCAGCUUGCUGGGGGGAUUAGUGGCGAACGGGUGAGUAACACGUGAGUAACCUGCCCUUGACUCUGGGAUAAGCACUGGAAACGGUGUCUAAUACCGGAUACGACCUUCCGCCGCAUGGUGAGGGGGUGGAAAGAAUUUCGGUCAAGGAUGGACUCGCGGCCUAUCAGCUUGUUGGUGAGGUAAUGGCUCACCAAGGCUGACGACGGGUAGCCAGGCCUGAGAGGGUGACCGGCCACACUGGGACUGAGACAC